Molecule: non-coding RNA, 172 nt
Organism: Plectropomus leopardus (leopard coralgrouper)
Lineage: Eukaryota; Metazoa; Chordata; Actinopteri; Perciformes; Serranidae
Source: RefSeq, a predicted model, not a curated record
AACAGGCAAACACAUCUGUAAGAAGUGUAAUUACUGUUAUGGGAACAGCGUUACGACAAAGGUGGAGAGGAGACCAGCAGCAGUUGCUGUGAGGGAGUCGGGGGAGCACCUGGAUGUCGUGUGUUUCAGCACCUCCGGAAGCAGAAACUGCAGGCCUUGAUGAAGAGGAGCA